Molecule: ribosomal RNA, 393 nt
Filed under: uncultured bacterium
Lineage: Bacteria
Description: partial 16S ribosomal RNA
Rfam family: Bacterial small subunit ribosomal RNA
Source: RNAcentral
AUACGGAGGAUCCGAGCGUUAUCCGGAUUUAUUGGGUUUAAAGGGUGCGUAGGCGGGAGAUUAAGUCGGUGGUGAAAUUUUGCAGCUCAACUGUAAAAGUGCCAUUGAUACUGGUUUCCUUGAGUGUGGAUGAAGUAGGCGGAAUUUGUGGUGUAGCGGUGAAAUGCAUAGAUAUCACGAGGAACUCCGAUUGCGCAGGCAGCUUACUAAACCAUAACUGACGCUCAGGCACGAAGCCGUGGGAAUCAAACAGGAUUAGAUACCCUGGUAGUCCACGCAGUAAACGAUGAUUACUAGCUGUUUGCGAUACACAGCAAGCGGCUUAGCGAAAGCGUUAAGUAAUCCACCUGGGGAGUACGUUCGCAAGAAUGAAGCUCAAAGGAAUUGACAGGG